This 1594-nucleotide ribosomal RNA is filed under the name uncultured bacterium. RNAcentral describes it as "bacterial SSU rRNA". It matches the Rfam family "Bacterial small subunit ribosomal RNA". The record is from RNAcentral.
UUUGAAUCCUUCAGGUGGACUCAAGACUGCAAUCGCGUGUCGCCCUUAGAGUUUGAUCCUGGCUCAGGACGAACGCUGGCGGCGUGCUUAACACAUGCAAGUCGAACGGAAAGGCCCUGCUUUUGUGGGGUGCUCGAGUGGCGAACGGGUGAGUAACACGUGAGUAACCUGCCCUUGACUUUGGGAUAACUUCAGGAAACUGGGGCUAAUACCGGAUAGGAGCUCCUGCUGCAUGGUGGGGGUUGGAAAGUUUCGGCGGUUGGGGAUGGACUCGCGGCUUAUCAGCUUGUUGGUGGGGUAGUGGCUUACCAAGGCUUUGACGGGUAGCCGGCCUGAGAGGGUGACCGGCCACAUUGGGACUGAGAUACGGCCCAGACUCCUACGGGAGGCAGCAGUGGGGAAUAUUGCACAAUGGGCGGAAGCCUGAUGCAGCAACGCCGCGUGCGGGUUGACGGCCUUCGGGUUGUAAACCGCUUUCGCCUGUGACGAAGCGUGAGUGACGGUAAUGGGUAAAGAAGCACCGGCUAACUACGUGCCAGCAGCCGCGGUGAUACGUAGGGUGCGAGCGUUGUCCGGAUUUAUUGGGCGUAAAGGGCUCGUAGGUGGUUGAUCGCGUCGGAAGUGUAAUCUUGGGGCUUAACCCUGAGCGUGCUUUCGAUACGGGUUGACUUGAGGAAGGUAGGGGAGAAUGGAAUUCCUGGUGGAGCGGUGGAAUGCGCAGAUAUCAGGAGGAACACCAGUGGCGGAAGGCGGGUUCUCUGGGCCUUUCCUGACGCUGAGGAGCGAAAGCGUGGGGAGCGAACAGGCUUAGAUACCCUGGUAGUCCACGCUGUAAACGGUGGGUACUAGGUGUGGGGUCCAUUCCACGGGUUCCGUGCCGUAGCUAACGCUUUAAGUACCCCGCCUGGGGAGUACGGCCGCAAGGCUAAAACUCAAAGGAAUUGACGGGGCCCCGCACAAGCGGCGGAGCAUGCGGAUUAAUUCGAUGCAACGCGUAGAACCUUACCUGGGUUUGACACGGAUCGGGAGCGCUCAGAGAUGGGUGUGCCUCUUUUGGGGUCGGUUCACAGGUGGUGCAUGGCUGUCGUCAGCUCGUGUCGUGAGAUGUUGGGUUAAGUCCCGCAACGAGCGCAACCCUUGUUCACUGUUGCCAGCACGUUAUGGUGGGGACUCAGUGGAGACCGCCGGGGUCAACUCGGAGGAAGGUGGGGAUGACGUCAAGUCAUCAUGCCCCUUAUGUCCAGGGCUUCACGCAUGCUACAAUGGCUGGUACAGAGAGUGGCGAGCCUGUGAGGGUGAGCGAAUCUCGGAAAGCCGGUCUCAGUUCGGAUUGGGGUCUGCAACUCGACCUCAUGAAGUCGGAGUCGCUAGUAAUCGCAGAUCAGCAACGCUGCGGUGAAUACGUUCCCGGGGCUUGUACACACCGCCCGUCAAGUCAUGAAAGUUGGUAACACCCGAAGCCGGUGGCCUAACCGUUGUGGGGGAGCCGUCGAAGGUGGGACUGGUGAUUAGGACUAAGUCGUAACAAGGUAACCAAGGGCGACACGCGAUUGCAGUGUAACACGAGUGAUCCUGAGUCAGAUCAACUGCCUCU